Molecule: transfer RNA, 75 nt
Filed under: Pseudomonas caspiana
Lineage: Bacteria; Pseudomonadati; Pseudomonadota; Gammaproteobacteria; Pseudomonadales; Pseudomonadaceae
Also listed under: 2 other names
Description: tRNA-Val
Source: RNAcentral
GAAGCGGUAGUGCGGCUGGUCUGAAUCCGGCCUGACACACCCGGGUCGUGGGUUUCAGCCCCGUCCGCUUCGCCA